RNAcentral lists this ribosomal RNA (571 nucleotides) under fungal sp. ARIZ L657. Its description in RNAcentral is "eukaryotic LSU rRNA". The stretch from base 234 to 387 matches the Rfam family "5.8S ribosomal RNA". The record is from RNAcentral. Lineage: Eukaryota; Fungi.
CUUGGUCAUUUAGAGGAAGUAAAAGUCGUAACAAGGUCUCCGUUGGUGAACCAGCGGAGGGAUCAUUACAGAGUUGCAAAACUCCCAAACCAUCGUGAACGUUACCUACAUCGUUGCUUCGGCGGGUGGCGGGCUUCGGCCCUGCCCUCGGCCCCUCUCGGGGGCCCGCCGGAGGUACACCAAACUCUUGAAUUUACAUGGCCUCUCUGAGUCUUCUGUACUGAAUAAGUCAAAACUUUCAACAACGGAUCUCUUGGUUCUGGCAUCGAUGAAGAACGCAGCGAAAUGCGAUAAGUAAUGUGAAUUGCAGAAUUCAGUGAAUCAUCGAAUCUUUGAACGCACAUUGCGCCCGCCAGUAUUCUGGCGGGCAUGCCUGUCCGAGCGUCAUUUCAACCAUCAAGCCCCCGGCUUGUGUUGGGGACCUGCGGCACACCCGCAGGCCCUGAAAACCAGUGGCGGGCUCGCUGUCCACACCGAGCGUAGUAGCAUAUCUUUGUCUCGCUCAGGGCGUGCGGCGGGUUCCGGCCGUGAAACCCACCUUCUCGAAGGUACCCAAAGGUUGACCUCGGAU